GCGCACGUGGCGUAAUUGGUAGCCGCGCCAGACUUAGGAUCUGGUGCCGCACGGGUGGGGGUUCGAGUCCCUCCAUGCGCA
RNAcentral lists this transfer RNA (81 nucleotides) under Bacteroidota bacterium. RNAcentral describes it as "Bacteroidetes bacterium (activated sludge metagenome) tRNA-Leu". It matches the Rfam family "tRNA". From Rfam's summary of the family: Transfer RNA (tRNA) molecules are approximately 80 nucleotides in length. Lineage: Bacteria; Pseudomonadati; Bacteroidota. The record is from RNAcentral.